Molecule: long non-coding RNA, 548 nt
Filed under: Androctonus crassicauda
Lineage: Eukaryota; Metazoa; Arthropoda; Arachnida; Scorpiones; Buthidae
Source: RNAcentral
CUUGUAUUUUAAUUCGUCUUUAGCAUGUAGCAACACAAAUUGUUCAAGGGUAAGCCACAACAUCUAGAAAUCACUCCUAGAUACGAACAAUAAAGGAAAAAAAAAUGGUACCGAUUUAGGAGGAAACAAAGCCGCUGUCGCUGGGUUUUCUGUGCAGCCUGCAGUGACUUCUGACACACGAGGAGAAACUGUCACUGUGAACCAAGUCAUCCUUGUUGGGAGAGUGCCACAGCCUGCUGCUUAGUUGAGUUACCAGACAUCCUCCACUUCCGAAGCAGCGAACGUCGAAUCUCAGGGAUGGUCCUCAACUGGAUCCAAGUGUAACGAGCCCUGUUUGAAUAAUGAGGGAGGGGGAGAGUGAUCCAUCCACAAUCCGGAAGCAGAUUUGCAGAGGUUUCCUGCACUGUUGUUUGACACUGCCCUGUUGAUGCCCUUACUCUUACGUUACUGUUUUCUCUGUCUGCUGUCUAACCCUGUGCCUUGCCUGGGAUAAGGACAAUGAUAAAGUUACUGGUUUUGGUUGUAAGUAGAGGACUUUAUCAAUUGGU